Molecule: ribosomal RNA, 253 nt
Filed under: uncultured bacterium
Lineage: Bacteria
Description: partial 16S ribosomal RNA
Rfam family: Bacterial small subunit ribosomal RNA
Source: RNAcentral
UACGUAGGGGGCAAGCGUUGUCCGGAAUCAUUGGGCGUAAAGAGCUCGUAGGCGGUCUGUUGCGUCCGCUGUGAAAACCCGGGGCUUAACCCUGGGCUGGCAGUGGAUACGGACAGACUAGAGGUAGGUAGGGGAGAAUGGAAUUCCCGGUGUAGCGGUGAAAUGCGCAGAUAUCGGGAGGAACACCGGUGGCGAAGGCGGUUCUCUGGGCCUUACCUGACGCUGAGGAGCGAAAGCGUGGGGAGCGAACAGG